UUGGAAUUGAGUGAAUAUUCAACCGCGGAUUAACAUCGCUAUCAGAAUUAUUCAUGUCAACAGAAUCAAAUCCGGUUGCAGCACUUACGUUUAAAGAAUAGCUUCCAUCUGAAACAGAAUUCCUUUCAGCUGAAUUCUCGGAAUUAUCAAUCCCUGCGGAACUAUUUUCAUUAGAUUGAUUGUCCAAGUACAAUCUUCUCUAGCAAUAGUGGCCAUGUUUAAUGAUGAAGCAAAUCCCCAGGGAUCUACAUUUAAUAGCUAAAGAACAUUCAGGUACAAAGGCAUAGCGGAUAUACCACGGCCAAAAACAACAAGGAAUGGGGAGAAAAGCUUUAGUUAUGAGGCAGCAAGACUCUAGAACUCCUUGCCAAAUGAGGCAAGGAGCUUAUCAACUUUUGGCCAGUUCAAAAAUUUUAUCUCCACCAGGUGUUUUUCAGAAAGUUGUACCUGCAGUUCUUGUAAGUAAUGUAACUCCUUGCUGCCACAUGACUUGAUCUUGAAGCCUACUGUUUGUUUUAUGUUUUUAUUUUUUGUAGUUAUUUUUAUUUAUUUGCUUUGCUUAUGCAUUACCUGUGCUGUAGCUGCUUGCAGUCUUUUGCUUGUGCUUUAUAGUGUUUAAUUUUGCAUGUGCUACUUGGAUACACAUAUUGUGUGUUACUAUGUGCUGAUAUUUGACAUUUGUUUUAAUAUAUAUCUUGCUUAGCUUUUAUUUUGCAUGUGCUAUCUAUGUAUUAACAUGAUUAAUACAUGUAUGUGCUGUCUGUAUGUUUGUGUUGUAUAUGAAUCUGAUGUUACUACAUGUAUGCAGUUCUGCCAACUUUUAAUAAUGCAAAUGCGUGAGAUUUGGCCAAAAUCGUAAAGAUCAAAGAGAAAAAACAAUAGAUCAAAGGAAAAUGCCGCCAAAUAAGCAUGAAAAUGUGUGAGACUUGGCAGCCCUGUGUAUGUUUUGUUUAUUAAUAUCAGUCGGUUAAAGAGCUCUUAAUAAAGACAGUCUUCACGCUUAACCACAAGUCCUACAGCAUUGGCUUGUACAAUUGCUUUCUGACUUGUAAAAUUCUUCUCUACAAGCCAACAGAAUCCAACUAAAAUUUUAAAAAAAUUGAGCUUCUGCAAGUUCUGGCUUGUGGAAUC
Long non-coding RNA from Mytilus californianus (California mussel), 1131 nucleotides. RefSeq lists it as uncharacterized. The record is from RefSeq and is a predicted model, not a curated record. NCBI's taxonomy places the organism in Eukaryota, Metazoa, Mollusca, Bivalvia, Mytilida, Mytilidae. The transcript has 3 exons.